Molecule: long non-coding RNA, 649 nt
Filed under: Hordeum vulgare
Lineage: Eukaryota; Viridiplantae; Streptophyta; Magnoliopsida; Poales; Poaceae
Description: long non-coding RNA (HVUL_LNC010229)
Source: RNAcentral
AAAAAUAAUAGGUAUUCAAUGAAUGAUAAUCAAAACCAUCAUGUAGCACAUAAAGAGAAAUUGUGGGUUAAUGAUAUUGAUAUGGUAAUAUGAAAAAGGAGUGAUUGCAUCAUUGUUGAUUCAUACAUGUAGAGUUAUUAAGAGGUGUUAAUUCAUGUUUCUAUAAAUAUUAAAAAGGCAUGACGGGGAUGUGUGAGCAUUUCUAUUCCUCCUUGAAAUCCCAGUGUUGUUUCGAGUCGGAGUCGAGCGAUGGUUAACUCGUCCCAACCUUCUCCCUCGGGGUAUGCGGGUAGUGCUUUGAUUUGUGACAAAGCUAAUCAAACUUUACAAUAAGAUAUGAGUUACUCAUUACUAAUGUGAAACCAUGGAUAUACGCAAUCUCACCUCCUCAUAUUUUGCGAGCCUCUUCGGUACUGUGCGUUGCCCAUUCUAACCUCGAGGAUUGGUGCGAACUUCGCCGGUGCAUCCAAACCCUGUGGCAUGAUAUGCCCUGUCACACAUAAAUCUUUCUUUUAUCUUCCUCAAAACAGCCACCCUACCUACCUAUCAUGGUAUUUCCAUAUCCAUUCCGAGAUAUAUUGUCAUGCAAAUUCAUCAUUUCAUCAUAUGACUAGUUCAUUCAUCAUCAUAUUGCUUUGCAUGAUCAUAU